AUGAACGCUGGCGGCGUGCCUAAUACAUGCAAGUCGAGCGAACAGACGAGGAGCUUGCUCCUCUGACGUUAGCGGCGGACGGGUGAGUAACACGUGGAUAACCUACCUAUAAGACUGGGAUAACUUCGGGAAACCGGAGCUAAUACCGGAUAAUAUAUUGAACCGCAUGGUUCAAUAGUGAAAGACGGUUUUGCUGUCACUUAUAGAUGGAUCCGCGCCGCAUUAGCUAGUUGGUAAGGUAACGGCUUACCAAGGCAACGAUGCGUAGCCGACCUGAGAGGGUGAUCGGCCACACUGGAACUGAGACACGGUCCAGACUCCUACGGGAGGCAGCAGUAGGGAAUCUUCCGCAAUGGGCGAAAGCCUGACGGAGCAACGCCGCGUGAGUGAUGAAGGUCUUCGGAUCGUAAAACUCUGUUAUUAGGGAAGAACAAAUGUGUAAGUAAUUAUGCACGUCUUGACGGUACCUAAUCAGAAAGCCACGGCUAACUACGUG
RNAcentral lists this ribosomal RNA (496 nucleotides) under uncultured bacterium. RNAcentral's name for it is "partial 16S ribosomal RNA". It matches the Rfam family "Bacterial small subunit ribosomal RNA", at positions 29 to 507 of the family's 1533-position model. The record is from RNAcentral.